RNAcentral lists this ribosomal RNA (400 nucleotides) under uncultured bacterium. RNAcentral's name for it is "bacterial SSU rRNA". It matches the Rfam family "Bacterial small subunit ribosomal RNA", at positions 355 to 748 of the family's 1533-position model. The record is from RNAcentral.
UGGGGAAUCUUCCGCAAUGGACGAAAGUCUGACGGAGCGACGCCGCGUGAGUGAAGAAGGCCCUCGGGUCGUAAAGCUCUGUCAUCGGGGACGAACGGCUGGACUAGGAAAUGAGUUCAGAUUGACGGUACCCGAGGAGGAAGCCACGGCUAACUACGUGCCAGCAGCCGCGGUAAUACGUAGGUGGCGAGCGUUGUCCGGAAUUAUUGGGCGUAAAGCGCGCGCAGGUGGGAUCUUAUGUCUGCUUUAAAAGUGCGGAGCUUAACUCCGUGAUGGGGUGGAAACUGAGAUUCUUGAGUGCCGGAGAGGAAAGCGGAAUUCCCCGUGUAGCGGUGAAAUGCGUAGAUAUGGGGAGGAACACCAGUGGCGAAGGCGGCUUUCUGGACGGUGUCUGACACUG